Mytilus californianus (California mussel) is the source of this 616-nucleotide long non-coding RNA. RefSeq lists it as uncharacterized. Lineage: Eukaryota; Metazoa; Mollusca; Bivalvia; Mytilida; Mytilidae. The record is from RefSeq and is a predicted model, not a curated record. The transcript has 5 exons.
GGCAUCAAUAUAUAAUUCUGUGCAGUUUUUUAAAUUCCUGAUAGAAGGAAACACAUCUUUCUUUUUUAAGAAGGAGGUAUUGAAAGGAAAUCGAUCGUUUGAUGCCAAGAAUUGAAAGAAUGGUGACACUUAGAAGUUUUAGAAUUUUUUUAACUCCAAAUGAAAUGGAAGGAGAGCUGUUCAGCAAAAUUGCAUCAGAACCAGGUACAAAUGGUGGAGUUGAUGCUGGUGCUAGUAAGAUUCUAUUAGAGACGAGUAAACUAGGCAAUCAACCAAAAAAGAAGCGUUUCAGAAGGGACCAAUCGGAGGGGAAUAAUUUGCCAAAGAAACAAAAGAAAGAUGAAGAUGUAAUAUGUCCAAAAAUUUCUACCAGAAGAAAAAAAAGAAAUUUGCCUUUAGUUCAAAGGCAAUAUUUUGUUCGUAAAUGUAAGGGGGAAAUGUAUUCUCGAUUACAGGAAUCGAAAAGAUCUCGUCAUUCGGGUGAAGAUAAAAUGAUUCCAAAAACUUCGACCAGAAGUAAAACAAGAAAUUUGCCUUUAGUGCAUAGGCAGUAUUUUGUUCGUAAAUGCAAGGGGGAAAUGCAUUCACGAUUACAGGAAGCGAAAAGAUCUCAUCA